AAUGAACGUUGGCGGCGUGGAUUAGGCAUGCAAGUCGUACGGGCCGCAAGGCCAGUGGCGCAAGGGUGAGUAAGGCGACGGUAACCAACCCCAGAGGUGGGUAUAGCCGCGGGAAACUGCGGGUAAUCCCCAGCGACGCGUGAGGCCGGCAUCGGUCUUCCGCCAAAGCUCCGGCGCUCUGGGACGGGCCGUCGUGGUAUUAGGUAGUUGGCGGGGUAACGGCCCACCAAGCCUGCGAUGCCUACCGGGCGUGCGAGCGUGGCCCGGCACACUGGGACUGAGACACUGCCCAGACUCCUACGGGAGGCUGCAGUCGAGAAUCUUCGGCAAUGGGCGCAAGCCUGACCGAGCGACGCCGCGUGGAGGAUGAAGGCCUUCGGGUUGUAAACUCCUGUCGAGGGGGAAGAAGCCGCAAGGUUGACUGAACCCUGGAGGAAGCACGGGCUAAGUUCGUGCCAGCAGCCGCAGUAAAAC
RNAcentral lists this ribosomal RNA (474 nucleotides) under uncultured bacterium. RNAcentral's name for it is "bacterial SSU rRNA". It matches the Rfam family "Bacterial small subunit ribosomal RNA", at positions 28 to 526 of the family's 1533-position model. The record is from RNAcentral.